Molecule: long non-coding RNA, 1169 nt
Filed under: Medicago truncatula (barrel medic)
Lineage: Eukaryota; Viridiplantae; Streptophyta; Magnoliopsida; Fabales; Fabaceae
Description: long non-coding RNA (MTRU_LNC006013)
Source: RNAcentral
GUCUUUUAUUCAGUUAUGUUUUGAGAUUUAUUUAAUUUCAUAUGCAAAGAUCUUAAUGCUUUUACGAAUUCUAGGGAGUGUGACAUACCUAGAGGCUCUUAACUGAACAUAGAAACAGGGGGCUGUAGAAGAUAUUUUUGGUCAACUUUUUCAAAUGUUGCAUUACAAACAUUACUUUAACCCCUUGGUAAGAUAGGGUUAUACCUAUCUAUUUAAUCUAUUAAGUAUCAUUCAUGAUAUUUGAUGUACUUCUAAGAUUCAUAGACGUAGGUGGAUCAUUUAAAUGACAAUUUAGGAGUACCAACUUUGUUUAUGUUUUAAUUAGCUUUGAGAGACUAAGACCUUACUUUAAUAACCUUACGAAGGCAUACAAACCUUGUAGGAAUGACGACCAUAUACAUUGUAUUUGCAUGUAUAACCUUAUUGUGAUCAAUAUGUGUGCAACUUGAGGGACAUAAAAAUCCCACGAACUCGUCACUUAAAUAGAACUCUUAUCUCAUAUUUAUCUUUAAUCCAACAAGGGAAUGGAGAGAAUUCGAAGAAUCCUAACCACCACUGCAUUCCGUAAUCAAAAUCAUUUACUUGCAUUCUCAUUCAGAAUGAAGCGGUUCAAGAGAAAGGCAUGCACUAGGAGGGUCAAGGGAGGAGUCUCUCCUCAACUUUUAUCCUUAGAGUAUGUUUUAUUUCUUUUGUAAUUUUUUUAGUUACUAUGAGUAACUUUACCCUAAUUGGGUAGGAUUCUAAGACAAACCUCUAUUUGUCUUAUGAAUCAAUUUAAUUCAAGUCUUUUAUUCAGUUAUGUUUUGAGAUUUAUUUAAUUUCAUAUGCAAAGAUCUUAAUGCUUUUACGAAUUCUAGGGAGUGUGACAUACCUAGAGGCUCUUAACUGAACAUAGAAACAGGGGGCUGUAGAAGAUAUUUUUGGUCAACUUUUUCAAAUGUUGCAUUACAAACAUUACUUUAACCCCUUGGUAAGAUAGGGUUAUACCUAUCUAUUUAAUCUAUUAAGUAUCAUUCAUGAUAUUUGAUGUACUUCUAAGAUUCAUAGACGUAGGUGGAUCUUUUAAAUGACAAUUUAGGAGUACCAACUUUGUUUAUGUUUUAAUUAGCUUUGAGAGAGUAAGACCUUACUUUAAUAACCUUACGAAGGCAUACAAACCUUGUAGGAAU